UGGCGUCAACACCGGUCAUUCGUAUCCUUCGAUUAUUUAUCUACGUUCUCAGUAUAGACGCCCCUAACGCGGCAAAUUAUUAUUUAUUUUUAUUAUUUUAACUUUUAAGUAAUAGUUCAGUUAGAUCAACAUUUCGGUCCACACUCCAUACCAGAUGGUGGCGGUAAUGCACCAAAUCGUUGUUUGCCAACCGCGAUAAAACCUCAGAAAAGAAAAAGAAGAAGCAUAAAUUGGUGACGCCAUACACCUGCUCGUCUUCACGCAGGUGUUUUUCAAUCAGCUGAUGACCGCAUAUUGCUUCCUUCUCCGAGGUACCUUGUGGCGGUAACCAACCGCCAUAAAACCUCAAAAAAGAACGAGGGAACUUUAAAAAAGAAGAGAAAAAGAAGAGGAAACUACCUCGGCGUGACGUCAGACGCCGAAAAGUUGGUCGCGUGAAUUAGCUCCUGUAUAAAACGCAGCUAGGCGCUCCAGGAUGGCGUGUUCGACCUGGUCCAGAUUGGUGGCCCGUCCAGAAUGAAACAACCUGCUUCCGGAGACCUGGUCGGAGACCUGGUCGGACCCGCCAUAUACAAAAGCCUGAGGCUGCCAAGAAAAGAUUGAUCUUCAUGAAGAUUGUCAAAUAGUAGGUGUCAUGAUUAAAUUCUGGGUGGCCGCUGUGUCCCCACUCUUUCUUGGCCGCUGUGCCUACAUCUCUCUGCAUUGUCCAACAUGGCCACGUUCUUUCUUUUCUCCUGCUUUCCAUCUGUCAAAUAGCUGAGGGUUGUACAUGGAGCAUUUGCCACAGGUUGGUUUUGUAUGUUCCUGACCACUUUAUUGGGUGGUCUUUUCUCUCUUUUUCAUCAUAGUCAUUAAUCUAACGUUAGCCUUAGCACGUUAAAAAAGAUCCUGGUGAUCUACAAACAUAGUACCUGGCUUUGGAUGGCAGCCGUGCCAUUGCCUUUAUAUUGCCAUAUGUCCUUUAAUGCAAGUAGGCCAUGAUCGCUAACUGUGCCCGCGCCUUCAUAGCCUACUUGUGUCAUUGUACGUCUGGCCUUGCGCGUAUAGUAAGUUUACAUAGACAAACAUGGGUGCCUUCCGCGUCCAUGCACAGUAAGUGAACUAACCUGUACUUUCCUUCUAGCAUCAGUCAAGAGGAGCAACGACAUCACUGCAUGUCCAUCUUAAUUAGAUCGCGUUUUAGUUGAGGUCAAAUUUCAAAUGUUAAGCAGUUUUUCUUUCUUGCUUGGCCGCUGUGCCAUUACUAUACCUGCUCUGACCUGAAUCUUGAUUCUUCAUGGCAACUGUGCCAUGACUGUACUUGGUCUUGGUGUUUAUGCCAGUCUAUAAUUUCUGAUCUGUUUUUCCUACCAAGUUUUACUGGUUGUGUGUGUGUGUGUGUGUGUGUGUGUGUGUGUGUGUGUGUGUGUGAUGACUGACGUUUAUCUGACCUUUGGACCAAGACUAAUACUCCAAUUGACUUUACUGCACCAGAAAGGUGAACAAAAGUUAUGUUACAAGACUGGCAAGAUGCACACCAAUUAGACAACAAGCUAAUUCAAAUUCUUUCAAACACAGGUAAAAUUUUUACCUUUCAGGUAGGUAUUAAAGGCCUUUGCUACAUGAUCUUUGUGGGUAAAUUGUGUCCACUCAAUUUAUAAAGUUAAUUUGCAUCUAAACAUUUACAAUGCAUGACACAGUGGCAUUACAAUAAUCAAUAUUUUUUGCGUUACUGAGUGCAAAGGCCUUUAUUUACACAGUGACACAUGCCAUGACGGCAGGUCUCCGCCUGUCUCAUGUCUGGUCUCCGCUCUGUCUGUAUGUCUCUCUUGCUGUCUGUCUGUCCUGUGUGUGUGUGUGUGGUAUCCGUCUGUCGGAUUUAGUCACUUUUUUAGUCUCGACUUAAAUGGGUGAUUUUGAAGCUGAUUAGUCUUGAGGCGUCUGAUUGCUGCAGGAAAUUCUAGUACCUUAUUUUGAAAUGGCUUUAAUUGAAAAAAAAUAUUUUGGUCUUGAAUCUGUUAUAGUUGCAACAUGGACUGUUGACAAACGUGGAAGCUGCUGAAUCAUGUAGUAAAUGCAUCAAAGUAGUUUGUCUAAAGUUCUUUCAAAGUGCUGUAAAAAUGUAGUAAUUGAUUAUGAUGAGCUAGACCAGGCCUUCCUUUAUUCUCAACUGGUAAUUGCUUUGAUAAGAUAACUUGUUCCUGAUUUGAUUAUGAAGCUAAAUAUUUAAUUUAUAUGCAAGUGUAGUCACAUUAGAUUGUAGGUGUUAUUCAGCCCAUCGAUAAUGUUAUGAUAUACUUUAAAUCUGGCAUUUGUUGGCACAUUUAAGUCUUAAACUUUAUGCACUGCCAUCAGCCUUUGUAGUCGCUAACUGAAAUCGAAUUCAAUAUUAAUGCUGACUUGUCUCACUCUGCCAAGUUUAUUUCCCUCUAAAGGAGUUGAACCUUUUUGUGUUCAUAGUCUUUUUGCGUGUCAUAUUGGGAGGCCUCCCAGCAGGGGAUUUUUAUCUUCCCCUGCAAAACGAUGCGUUACUCGCCUUAGGGAUGCAGGGCUAUCCUGCAUAGUUUCUUUCAAAAAUUAGAUUGUAGGUUGCAGGACUAGAGCGCGUUUCUUUUCUUUAGGAGGACACAAACCUGGCAGAGAGACAACUCGGAUUAUUUAAGUAAAGGUUGCGCUAAAUGAUCGAACUUCUUAUUUUUCGAUACGAUGACUUGAAAUAAAACUUUUAUUCUGUGGUCUGAAUUCAGACAGAAUUUCGCUUGAUGUUAAAGACUGUUGUGCAAGUACCCUCUUGUGGCAGGAGUGAGCAGCUGCAGCUUUUUAAUUUAUUUUUCGUUAUCUGAUUUGUUUUUUGGAUUGACUUGGUGUCUGGAGCUUUGUGGUUAACAGUGAUCGUGUAAACACAAGUGGUCUUUUGCCUCUUAUUUGAGAAGCUGGCAGCUGGUUGAAAUGAUAGGACUUUAUGGCUUGCCCAAAGUGGGAUUUUUGAUAGAGCAUAGGGUUAGGCAGCUUGUAGAGUCAUUAGGAAGAUGCUUAAUCCCAAUGUCUUGGUUGGUUGCAUGAGAAACUGCUAUCUCUUAGAUGUGUUGGCGAAGUUCCUCCUCCUGAUUUUUGUAGACUUGCCCUAAAGUUUCUCUCCGUUUUAACUCUUGUUGAGCUAUGCAUUAAAUGAUUCCUCCAACUUGUCUCCAUAUCAAUUUUUUUUCUCCCUGCAGCCUUCCACCACCCACUGCUGCUGUUGCAUCUGCUAAAGGUAGCCAUAUCCUGAUUCACUGCAUCUUCAUGUGUUGGGUAAGAAGUGUCAUUAGACUACUAACAAUGUAAACACCUUUUAAAUGCUUGAUCUAAUUUACCCAAAUGGUUCAUCAGUUUAGGACCAAAAAAAUCAUUGAAUUUGACAUUCUUGGGGUCAGUAACCUGACCUCUAAAUGUUUGGGGAAAGCAUGCAAAAGAUCACAAGCCCUCUGCAUGACCCAACAGCAUCGAUGUUUGAGUUAUUUAAUUUCUCAAUUUUUAAAUCAGUCAAGAUUUUGUGAGCUGGGUCUUCUUCACACAACAGAGAACAAGGUAAAUUGAGUCGACUCGUAAUAUGGUAAGGCAUUUCGUCUUUCCCCUUCUUCUGUGUGUGAAAAAAUCUGGAUCCUGACUGAGUGACAUACCAUGGCUGUGCAGUUUCCAAAAUCAGACAAGGAUCCAUCUGAUUUUGUGACUCGGCCUGUCGUGAUAUGCAUUUAUCUUCCUCUGAAACAAAGGAUUGGAAUGGACAGGUUUGUAAAUCACAUCACUUGUAGAUGGUGAAGCAUUUGUUUAAAUUGGGGUCAAGCAUUUUCAGGUGUCUGCUUUGUCAAUACUCUGGUGCCACGUCUUGCUAAACACACGAGAAGCUCUGAAUUGUGAAACUGCUGCCUCUUGCAGAUGUUACAACAGCAAUGGCUGUUGAAAGGCUGCAGGGAGAGAAAAUGAGAUCUGAGGACAGGAAAGUGGAAUUGAUUUCACGCUUAGCAAAAUGAGGGUUUCAGCAGAGGACCUUUUUGUGCCGAGGCUACAGAAUCAGAAGGAACGUUUGUCUGGGCAACUGGGAGAUUUACAGUUUUUCAUGCAGCCAACCAAGACAUUGGGGUUAGCAUCAUCCCAGAUGGUUGGCAAAGAUUGCUUGUAACUGUCAGUGUAGGACAGGAAAGGCAGGUAUAGGAUAGGAAGGGCAUCCAUCGGUGAGCUCUGACUGGAUGUGAGGACCUGUCACACUUGACCAGAGAUGAAGGCCGCAGCACAUUCCUGGAUCAGAGGACUCCAUGUUGGACACCACGACCUGGAGAAGUCCCGUCCUGGAUGACUGCGGUGAUGACCUAGCCCAAGAUGAACUGACCCUUCUACAACGAGGACUUCGCCCAAGAUGAACCGACUUUUUCCACGGGAUAUCUUCAGAUGUUGGACCUUGCCAAACUGUACACAUGCCUCAAUGGCUGCUACGCCACUCUGCCCAACAGGACAUGGUCACCGAGAUUUUUUGAUUUUUUUUUAAAAUGGACUUUAACCCCCCCCGUCCCCACUGACCCACAACCACACAUGACAAAACACUGUACAUGUGAUGCAUCGCCACAUUAAAAUACAGACACUGCUACUUUCAGUCUGUAAAAGAUCGCAAGCCCUCUGCAUGACCCCACAGCAUCGAUGUUUGAGUUAUUUAAUUGCAUAAUUUUUAAAUCAGUCAAGAUUUUAUGAGCUGGGUCUUCUUCACACAACAGAGAACAAGGUAAAUUGAGUCAACUCGUAACAUGGUAAGGCAUUUCGUCCUUCCCCUUCUUCUCUGUGUGUGAAGAAAUCUGGCCACAGAUCCUGACUGAGUGGCAUACCAUGGCUGUGCAGUUUCCAAAAUCAGACAAGGAUCCAUCUGAUUUUGUGACUCGGCUUGUCAUGAUAUGC
Solea solea (common sole) is the source of this 4902-nucleotide long non-coding RNA. RefSeq lists it as uncharacterized. Lineage: Eukaryota; Metazoa; Chordata; Actinopteri; Pleuronectiformes; Soleidae. The record is from RefSeq and is a predicted model, not a curated record. The transcript is spliced from 5 exons.